CAUGUCAGCUCGUGGAUCGUGGGAAAGGGCCUGCCCGUGGAUUGUGAACACUAGGGCUCUGGCUCUUGGCUGAGGGAGCGAGGGCGCGGCGGCAGCGGUGCUCGUAUCCAAGAUCCACGGCUCCGCACUGUCGGUCCCCAGCUGGCCUCGAAGAUCCAGUGAGGAGGGUGAAGGAGGCCAUGCUCGGGUUCGUCUCCGGCAAGGGCGGCUUCCUAGGCGAGGCGGCUUCGACCCUGUCUACAAGGGCUUCAUCGGCGAUGGCUUCAAGAAGGGGCUCAAGCCGCAGGCCAUCGCCGUCUUCCUCCACGGCCACGUCUUCUUGCUAGCAGCGUCGCCAUCUCCUCUUCCUCUCUGCCCACACCAACUCAUCGAUUCAGAGCAAGAGGCUCCAAGGUCAAUACUCAAUGCUGCUAGAAAGGCAUAAGAUCUUAUUGGAUUUAUCAUGCUAUUUUAUCCUGCAUCUUCAUAAGUUACCUACCUAUUGGAUUUUGAGAAUAAGCCUUGUCAGUUUCGUUUAUUUGUUGCUUUGAAAAUCUUCCAAACAAGAUUCAAUAGGUCUCUUAUGUAAAGACUUGCACCUGUGUAUUUAUUUUCAGUUUGUUUGAGAGUAUACGGUGAAGAUUCAAAUAUGUUUGUAUGUUUAUGUAAUGAACAUGCAUGUGAAUUCAUACCAGUUCAAAAGUCAA
Long non-coding RNA from Panicum hallii, 686 nucleotides. RefSeq lists it as uncharacterized. The record is from RefSeq and is a predicted model, not a curated record. Lineage: Eukaryota; Viridiplantae; Streptophyta; Magnoliopsida; Poales; Poaceae. The transcript has 2 exons.